RNAcentral lists this ribosomal RNA (430 nucleotides) under uncultured bacterium. Its description in RNAcentral is "bacterial SSU rRNA". It matches the Rfam family "Bacterial small subunit ribosomal RNA", at positions 355 to 775 of the family's 1533-position model. The record is from RNAcentral.
UGGGGAAUUUUUCGCAAUGGGGGCAACCCUGACGAAGCAACGCCGCGUGGAGGAUGAAGGCCCUAGCGGUUGUAAACUCCUGUCUAGCGGGACGAAGGUACAGGAAUCGAAUAGAUUUCGGUAUUGACUGUACCGCUGGAGGAAGCUCCGGCUAACUCCGUGCCAGCAGCCGCGGUAAUACGGAGGGAGCAAGCGUUACUCGGAAUUAUUGGGCGUAAAGGGCGCGUAGGCGAUUUGACAUGUCUUAUGUGAAAGCCCAGGGCUUAACUCUGGAAGUGCAUAAGAAACUGUUGAAUUUGAGUACAGGAGAGGAAGGCAGAAUUCCCGGUGUAGCGGUGAAAUGCGUAGAUAUCGGGAGGAAUACCAGUGGCGAAGGCGGCCUUCUGGACUGUAACUGACGCUGAGGCGCGAAAGCUAGGGGAGCAAACGG